Molecule: long non-coding RNA, 874 nt
Organism: Bubalus bubalis (water buffalo)
Lineage: Eukaryota; Metazoa; Chordata; Mammalia; Artiodactyla; Bovidae
Exons: 3
Source: RefSeq, a predicted model, not a curated record
CCGGUUGCCGGCCCCGCCGCCGCGUCCCUGCCCGGGAGCCCCGCCUGGAACCGCCGUUCGCGGUGGGGAGGGCCCGGAAGGAGGCGGCGCUGACCCUGAGGGGACGGGGCCGGGCGGAAGGCGUGACCUGACCCUCGGGGAGAAUUGGAAAAUAGAGGGAAAGUGGAAGGAACACCCACAGUUGCACCACUUGAACAUAAUUUUCCACCUGUGUUCAUUCCCUUCAGGAUGUGCUUGAAAACAUGGGUGUUUUAAACUAAGAAGCACUGGAACCCACACACUGAGAGGAGAGCCACUGAAAGUUUAUUUUUCCAUUCAAGGUGAGUGUUUCAGAAGAGCUUUCCCUAAAAGUGAUUUGAAAUUACUUUGGAAACAGAGGGAAGGAAUGUCUGCACAAAGUCUCCCCUUAGAUGUCCUUGUGAUUUUUAUUCUCAGUGUCUUUGUAUCUUCUCACUAUAUCUCAUUGAUUCUUGUGGGGCUUAUUACCACGUUAGGUAAAUAAUAUGCUGUCAGACAAGAUAUGUGGGCAUCCAUUGGUUUUUGCAUCUCUCCUCCUUCUGGAGACAGCAUGCCAAUUUUCCUCUGGAGAACCAUCUCUGUGCAUACUCAGUCCCUGUAGUUUGCAGGAAAGAGGCUGGUUCAGGGCUGGUCUAAGACCCAUUGUGAGUGACCGUAGUCAUAGUGUUUAGUUCAUCAGUGAGUAUGUGGCUCAUACUGGGCCAGUCAAAGCCAGUGGCAUCUGCUGAGGUUUUUGCUGAGAUGUUCUCUUUCUGUGGAGGUUGCUAAAUUACAAAGAUAUAAGUAGCUGCUGACACUACCACCUAGAGAUGACCCACUGGGAAUGACGCCACAACAGAGGAGAAAAAUGUAAGAG